Molecule: ribosomal RNA, 467 nt
Filed under: uncultured bacterium
Lineage: Bacteria
Description: bacterial SSU rRNA
Rfam family: Bacterial small subunit ribosomal RNA
Source: RNAcentral
UCCCAGACUCCUACGGGAGGCAGCAGUGAGGAAUAUUGGUCAAUGGGCUUACGCCUGAACCAGCCAAGUCGCGUGAGGGAAGACUGCCCUAUGGGUUGUAAACCUCUUUUGUCAGGGAGCAAUUGGCGCUACGUGUGGCGUUAUCGAGAGUACCUGAAGAAAAAGCAUCGGCUAACUCCGUGCCAGCAGCCGCGGUAAUACGGAGGAUGCGAGCGUUAUCCGGAUUUAUUGGGUUUAAAGGGUGCGUAGGCGGAAUGCCAAGUCAGCGGUAAAAUCGCGGGGCUCAACCUCGCUCCGCCGUUGAAACUGGCGGGCUGGAGUUGGAGAGAAGUACGCGGAAUGCGCGGUGUAGCGGUGAAAUGCUUAGAUAUCGCGCAGAACCCCGAUUGCGAAGGCAGCGUACCGGCUCCACACUGACGCUGAGGCACGAAAGCGUGGGUAUCGAACAGGAUUAGAUACCCCCGUAA